GAUGAAGAACGCUUCCGAUCUUUCAGAGAUGAAGAACGUAGCAAAAUGCGAUAAGUAAUGUGAAUUGCAGAAUUCAGUGAAUCAUCGAAUCUUUGAACGCACAUUGCGCCCGCUGGUAUUCCGGCGGGCAUGCCUGUUCGAGCGUCAUUUCAACCCUCAAGCCCCCGGGUUUGGUGUUGGGGAUCGGCUCUGCCCUUCUGGGCGGUGCCGCCCCCGAAAUACAUUGGCGGUCUCGCUGCAGCCUCCAUUGCGUAGUAGCUAACACCUCGCAACUGGAGAGCGGCGCGGCCACGCCGUAAAACACCCAACUCUUCUGAAGUUGACCUCGAAUCAGGUAGGAAUACCCGCUGAACUUAAGCAUAUCAAUAAGCGGAGGA
This 377-nucleotide unclassified non-coding RNA is filed under the name soil metagenome. Its description in RNAcentral is "partial contains 5.8S ribosomal RNA, internal transcribed spacer 2, and large subunit ribosomal RNA". The stretch from base 17 to 147 matches the Rfam family "5.8S ribosomal RNA", at positions 24 to 154 of the family's 154-position model. The record is from RNAcentral.